CAGCUCGUGUUGUGAAAUGUUGGGUUAAGUCCCGCAACGAGCGCAACCCUUAUCCUUUGUUGCCAGCGAUUCGGUCGGGAACUCAAAGGAGACUGCCAGUGAUAAACUGGAGGAAGGUGGGGAUGACGUCAAGUCAUCAUGGCCCUUACGACCAGGGCUACACACGUGCUACAAUGGCGCAUACAAAGAGAAGCGACCUCGCGAGAGCAAGCGGACCUCAUAAAGUGCGUCGUAGUCCGGAUUGGAGUCUGCAACUCGACUCCAUGAAGUCGGAAUCGCUAGUAAUCGUGGAUCAGAAUGCCACGGUGAAUACGUUCCCGGGCCUUGUACACACCGCCCGUCACACCAUGGGAGUGGGUUGCAAAAGAAGUAGGUAGCUUAACCUUCGGGAGGGCGCUUACCACUUUGUGAUUCAUGACUGGGGUGAAGUCGUAACAAGGUAACCGUAGGGGAACCUGC
Molecule: ribosomal RNA, 459 nt
Filed under: Salmonella enterica subsp. enterica serovar Agona
Lineage: Bacteria; Pseudomonadati; Pseudomonadota; Gammaproteobacteria; Enterobacterales; Enterobacteriaceae
Description: bacterial SSU rRNA
Rfam family: Bacterial small subunit ribosomal RNA
Source: RNAcentral